This is a long non-coding RNA of Alligator sinensis (Chinese alligator), 1004 nucleotides long. RefSeq lists it as uncharacterized. The transcript is spliced from 3 exons. NCBI's taxonomy places the organism in Eukaryota, Metazoa, Chordata, Crocodylia, Alligatoridae. The record is from RefSeq and is a predicted model, not a curated record.
AAGCACUAUAUAAGCAUUAGGUGUUGGUGUCAUAGCAGAAACAUCAUUUACCUAGGUUAAGCCGCUAACACAUUUGAAUGUGUGGCACAAGCAAAAUAACUAGACUUCUAAAAACAGCAUCCUUUUAAAAUGGGAUGUACUUUGGCGAUCCCACAGCUGUAAAUCCCAAGUACUAUAAAUAUACACAACUUCGUGGUAUUAACCCCAUCUCCUCCUUUCACUAUUCCCUACUGCUGAAAUCCACUAUUCAGAAAACUUCCGUUUCUUUAUAUCUUCCUUUUUUUGUUUGUUUGCUAAGCAAGCCAGAUUUCUGUUUGCAGACAGGACAUGGAUAGCAUGUUCCAUGGGCAAAAAGGCAAAAAGAGGUAACGCUUCCAGAAUAAAGAUGCGAAAAUCUUUUGUCAUAAUACGCAGGAACGUACGUCUGGGUACGCAUAUAUUUGUGCACACAUUUCUAGAGACACAUGCAGGUCCCUGAGCAACUCAGAAGGCUCCAGCCCAUUUCCUGCCUGGUCAGGGCUGUGUCCUAUGGCAGAUCCUGCGCUAAUUGCAGGGCUCCACGAGAAGGUGGCCCGAGUCAAAGAGAAAGUUGCCGGCCAGGCUGCUCACUUGCUCUCACUCUGCAAUUGGCUUCUGCGAGCUCCCAUCGCUCCUUUAAGAAGCUGCCACACAAACAAGGCAGCUGCUCUGCUCCUUCCCUGAUUGCAGCCAGAGGGGGAAUGGACUCUGCGGACGGUGACACACGAUCAUUUUCAUCUACAUUUCAUUUUACAUCGGGAUUAUGAAUUGACACUGAACAGAGCAGGCUUCAUCCUGUGGCAGUUCAGUGCAUGCUUUCUGCAAAACAGACAACACAAAACACACGGGCUUUGGUCAGUGAUGGUCAUGAUCUGAUGGAGGAUGUCUCCGAUGUCCUGCUUCCUGCCGUCGCCGUCUGCCCCUUCGUGUCCGUGGGGAGGAGGCAGAGCCAUGCCCCCCUGCACCGAGUGGCCGGCCAGGUUCAC